This 1056-nucleotide long non-coding RNA is filed under the name Anser brachyrhynchus (Pink-footed goose). Its description in RNAcentral is "lncRNA (ENSABRG00000020564.1)". Lineage: Eukaryota; Metazoa; Chordata; Aves; Anseriformes; Anatidae. The record is from RNAcentral.
UUCCUCUGCACAGGUUUUCCUGCAGUUUAUCUGCCAAAGGGAGUCUUGAAGAAGGCCAGGAUAAGGACAGGAUUGGAAAGACAAGCUCGGUAGACACAAGGAAAUCCUUCAACAUCAGGGGCAUAGAAAAUGUCUCACGAUAAUGGCUUUCUUUCCAAUGCCUCUUGGGCCCAGCUCUGUUUAUCUGACCUACGCAGAGGCACCAUCUUGGAUUGCGGUUCAUUCUGCUCUGUGCAAGACACUCCUUCCCCUGGGGACUACAGCAUCCCUGAGCUGCUGGCAUUGAGGAUGGCAGGGCUUUUACAAGCAGAGGUCAGAGAUUUAAAAGCUACGGUAAGAAGUGCUUUGAUAGUCAGGUCUCAGUUUCGGGAUAAAUCCUGCAGUUCUGCACACCCUGAGUCCCCCUGACUCAUUCAGGGAGCAGCUCAUUUUGUGUUUCCUAGGAUGAGCUUAGCACCCACACACACCCCAGCCAUGCUUUCAGGGUGAAGCCAAGCACCUCGCUCUGCAGAGGGAGCCCCAAGGAGCUGUGGGUGCUUGGCUUACCUGUAGGAGGCUAAGCAACAGCAAGGUCCAGCAAGGAACACAUCUUACACACACAGGAUUGGCUUGCUAGGGGCUGAGGGGAUUCUGAUGCUGCAGAGCUGCUCUACCAGGGGAGUUGCACAACCCUAAGAACCACUUCUUUUAAUAAGCUUCUUAUUCUCAGAAAGGGAAAGAAGCCAGGCCUUAUAACUGAGAUCUUUAGAAAGCUUCCAAGUCAUGGCUACUUCCCUUGCUCCUCGGGACAUCAAUCUAUAUAUCUUAUCCCUUCCUCCUUAUAUCUUAACCCUUCCACUCUCUCUCUCUCUCUCCCCCCACCUGUCUUUCACCUCGUUAGUAAACACCAAAGUCUCUUUUACAAGCAAAGGCCACCUGGCACCUGAAUCUUUUCCCAAAGUGGCAUCACAUGUUCUUCUAGGACUUCAAGCUUUAGUGUAGAAAAGGGACAGCAAUCCCCAGUGAAAACAGAUAUGACAUUUUAAAGAAGGGAAACUAGAUCAGAACAAAAGAAAA